This 500-nucleotide ribosomal RNA is filed under the name uncultured bacterium. Its description in RNAcentral is "partial 16S ribosomal RNA". It matches the Rfam family "Bacterial small subunit ribosomal RNA", at positions 28 to 523 of the family's 1533-position model. The record is from RNAcentral.
GAUUAACGCUGGCGGCAUGCCUUACACAUGCAAGUCGAACGGCAGCACGGGAGCAAUCCUGGUGGCGAGUGGCGAACGGGUGAGUAAAGUAUCGGAACGUGCCUAGUCGUGGGGGAUAACGUAGCGAAAGUUACGCUAAUACCGCAUACGAUCUAUGGAUGAAAGCGGGGGAUCGCAAGACCUCGCGCGAUUGGAGCGGCCGAUAUCAGAUUAGGUAGUUGGUGGGGUAAAGGCUCACCAAGCCGACGAUCUGUAGCUGGUCUGAGAGGACGACCAGCCACACUGGGACUGAGACACGGCCCAGACUCCUACGGGAGGCAGCAGUGGGGAAUUUUGGACAAUGGGCGAAAGCCUGAUCCAGCCAUGCCGCGUGCAGGAUGAAGGCCUUCGGGUUGUAAACUGCUUUUGUACGGAACGAAAAGGUUUGGCCUAAUAAGCUGAGCUCAUGACGGUACCGUAAGAAUAAGCACCGGCUAACUACGUGCCAGCCGCCGCGGUAA